AUUUCUUUUGAUUUUCCCAUGAUGUCAAGCAAAGAGGCACUGAGUUGAAAGAACUGGUCCAAAUAGGGAACUGGAAAGUGAGACCAUCAAUGCCUACAUGUUCCAUCUGGUGCGGAAUUUUUAAAGGCAGUCAACCGAGCAAGCUUUCUACAAUGACCUUUAAAAUUACUGGCAUUUGGGGAGCAAGAUAUCAAAACUUAAGAUUGAUCCAAUGAUGUACAAGUACAUUAUUGGCAUCAUCAAUGAACACAACCACUGGACUGUGAUGGACCUGAGCCCUAGGACCAUGCCCCAGGAUUACCUGACAUG
Molecule: long non-coding RNA, 309 nt
Organism: Oncorhynchus kisutch (coho salmon)
Lineage: Eukaryota; Metazoa; Chordata; Actinopteri; Salmoniformes; Salmonidae
Exons: 5
Source: RefSeq, a predicted model, not a curated record